AUUGAACGCUGGCGGCAGGCCUAACACAUGCAAGUCGAGCGGUAGAGAGGUGCUUGCAUCUCUUGAGAGCGGCGGACGGGUGAGUAAUGCCUAGGAAUCUGCCCUGGUGGUGGGGGAUAACGUUCGGAAACGGACGCUAAUACCGCAUACGUCCUACGGGAGAAAGCGGGGGAUCUUCGGACCUCGCGCCAUUAGAUGAGCCUAGGUCGGAUUAGCUAGUUGGUGAGGUAAUGGCUCACCAAGGCGACGAUCCGUAGCUGGUCUGAGAGGAUGAUCAGUCACACUGGAACUGAGACACGGUCCAGACUCCUACGGGAGGCAGCAGUGGGGAAUAUUGGACAAUGGGCGAAGACCUGAUCCAGCCAUGCCGCGUGUGUGAAGAAGGUCUUCGGAUUGU
This 397-nucleotide ribosomal RNA is filed under the name uncultured bacterium. RNAcentral describes it as "bacterial SSU rRNA". It matches the Rfam family "Bacterial small subunit ribosomal RNA", at positions 30 to 426 of the family's 1533-position model. The record is from RNAcentral.